AUUGGGGCUAAGUCGUAACAAGGUAGCCGUACCGGAAGGUGCGGCUGGAACACCUCCUUUCUGGAGAGAC
Molecule: ribosomal RNA, 70 nt
Filed under: Segatella hominis
Lineage: Bacteria; Pseudomonadati; Bacteroidota; Bacteroidia; Bacteroidales; Prevotellaceae
Description: Prevotella sp. BCRC 81118 partial 16S ribosomal RNA
Rfam family: Bacterial small subunit ribosomal RNA (bases 1-60)
Source: RNAcentral